Molecule: ribosomal RNA, 301 nt
Filed under: Nematobrachion boopis
Lineage: Eukaryota; Metazoa; Arthropoda; Malacostraca; Euphausiacea; Euphausiidae
Description: partial large subunit ribosomal RNA
Source: RNAcentral
AAUCAUUAGUCUUUUAAUUGGGGGCUUGUAUGAAGGGUCGUACAAGAAACAAUCUGUCUUAACAUAAUUUAUUGAAUUUAACUUUUAAGUAAAAAGGCUUAAAUAAAUUAAAGUGACGAUAAGACCCUAUAAAACUUUAUAAAUGUAGUUAAAAUUAUAUAUUGGUUGUUUAAAAUUUUUUUAAUAAAUUUUAUUUUAUUGGGGCGAUAAAAAUAUAAAAGGUAGCUGUUUUGUUAUUAAAAUGAUUAUUAUCAAAGAUUAAUUUGUUCCUUUAAUAGAGAUUAUAAGAUUAAGUUACUUU